This 301-nucleotide ribosomal RNA is filed under the name uncultured bacterium. RNAcentral's name for it is "partial 16S ribosomal RNA". It matches the Rfam family "Bacterial small subunit ribosomal RNA", at positions 509 to 809 of the family's 1533-position model. The record is from RNAcentral.
CAGUCGCCACGGGAAUACGUAGGGUGCAAGCGUUAAUCGGAAUUACUGGGCGUAAAGCGUGCGCAGGCGGUUAUAUAAGACAGAUGUGAAAUCCCCGGGCUCAACCUGGGAACUGCAUUUGUGACUGUAUAGCUAGAGUACGGCAGAGGGGGAUGGAAUUCCGCGUGUAGCAGUGAAAUGCGUAGAUAUGCGGAGGAACACCGAUGGCGAAGGCAAUCCCCUGGGCCUGUACUGACGCUCAUGCACGAAAGCGUGGGGAGCAAACAGGAUUAGAUACCCCCGUAGUCCCUGUCUCUUAUCC